Molecule: long non-coding RNA, 2857 nt
Organism: Hyla sarda
Lineage: Eukaryota; Metazoa; Chordata; Amphibia; Anura; Hylidae
Exons: 4
Source: RefSeq, a predicted model, not a curated record
CCGGGGGCGGGGGCUCGCGAUCGGCAGAUUUCACGUCACCCAAUGAGACGACGCGACGGCGGCGGCCCCAUUCAUGCUGUGGGCGCGGCCACGGGAGGGAGGCGGUUACUCCGUCAAGCGCGUGAGGCGUGUGUGAAAGCCGGUUGUAACUGUCACCGCUCCUAAUAAUUGGGGACGUUCUAAUUUAUAUCGCGAUAUGACGAUUUAUAUUAUACAUAUAGACAGACAUCCGCACAUGUGGAAGGGAUACAGCAGCGCCGACUUAGGGAAGGAAGUGUUGAGAUAUAUUGUUGAUAUUACAAUAUAUCUGUGGUUUUUAAAAAGCAUGCAGAUUAUUGAUCUUGAGGAACUGGCUAUCUGCAUCAGGCCCGACUCUGAAAAUGUUGGAGGCAGAAGUAGAGAAAAUUAAAAAUAUGGAAAAAUUUAGAGCCAAGUCGGCCAAAUCAUUGGCCCAAUGGGGGGAAAGCCUGGAGGCUGGGGUGAUCAAUAGAAUUGUAUAAUGGUGCCAUUUGAAUAAUGAUAAAAGCCUCUGUUACAAAAUCAUAGAACAGCACAAAAGAAAAACAAUACAAAGAAUGCACAAGUGUUAUAGGGCUGAUGUUUACAUCUGUACUGUGGUCUGGGUGUAGGUGUGUUACAGUAGGGGCAAAGCAGAGCUUAAUUCAAGGCAGAAUAGUGGGUCAUGUUUUUACGACUUGCUGGACGAUCACAGCACAUUCUCUGCACUCCUUCACAUUGGAGAAUACAAGGGAAGGAGUGUGCUUACAGGAAUUUAAUUUCCGAGCCAAGAAAUCUAUGAAGCCCCUAUCAAUGUGCGAAACAGUGUCAAGUACUGGGCUUCCUCUUCUACCAUCCCAUGCGUUUUCUAGGAAAAUAUGUGAAACGUGCAGCCAAGUUUAUCAUUCUUUCAGUGUUCUGCCUCAUUCUCUUCUUACAUUCCUCACAUGAACUUUUUAAGGUUCACAGUGGAGCAAAUAUAUACGUCUCCAAGUGAAUGUUUCCAUUCGGACAAAUACAAUUUAACCUCAUGAUAACAUUUUUCUAUUGACAUUUUGGAACCCAGAUGGUAGGAGAACAAUAUUAUGAAAGCUGUCAACAAGGCUACACAGUCUGCUAUCCAGAUUUGUGUAGCAGUCUGGGUACCACUGUAUACCUCCAUAUACAACCAUGAGACCUAAUAUAUUAAUUAUACAUAAUGGUAGGGUCACAUGUGCCAUAUUUAGAUGCAUAAAAUUAGUCACGUGUGCCCCUACCCUUAAAAGUUAUUAGCUCCUCUGGAGCAGUGUCGGGCUGGGGUGCCAAGGGCCCACCAGUGGAAUCGCCAAAGCCAGUUAGCCACAGUGGCCCAGAUUUACCAAUCUAUCUGAGACAAAAACUCUCUGAUUUCCCAAUAGCAACUGAUCAUGGCUCAGCUUUCAUUUCUUUUUGGUAAAAUGACAGCUUUGGUAAAAGUUUCUAUGGCAGUGUUUUCCAAAUAGGGUGCCAUCAGCUGUCGAACAACUACAACUGCUAGCAUGUAGUUGUGCAACAGUUUUAGGCCCCCUAUUUGGGAAACACUGCUAUGGGCAAAUUAUACAGUUAUAAUAAAUCAGCCCCAUUAAGUGACUUUGUCUCUGUUAAUACUAGACAUAAGGGGACCCAUUUUAGCUAGUUGGGUUUUAGAUAGAGCUUUCCUGUUUAUAGUAGAGUAGCAGGACAAAUGCCCAUAAAAAUUGGAGCAAAGCUGGACAAACUUGGCAGUUUUUGCUGGUCCAACUGUCUCAUGUGUAUUAGGGAGCACUGAAGGACAGGGCUUAGUGAAUUUCAAUGUCUGAUUCUUUUGUUCUCUCUAGGUGUCUGGAGAAGUGUUAAGCAGCAGCUUAUUUUUCUCCCUAUUUCUCCCUAAUGAGAAUACAUGCAUACUUGGCUGAACUGAGCAUGCAUGUGUUUGUGGAAGACAGGAGGUACAGCUGUGGCUGAACUAUCAAUAGGACAACAGUUGGAAGUUCUUUUGCCAUCUUGAGACACUGCAUUUGGAAAAGGGAGAUGUGCGGGCAUUUAUCAAUGUCUUUAGAGCUGUUUUUGGGUGUAGAUUUGUCUCUAUAUUGGCGCAGCACUGCACCUCAGGCUAUUUUUCGCGACUUUUGGGUUUGCACCUUUUCUAAAAAGAGUGUACAGACCAGCUGUUAAGAUUAGUCUUGUGCAGUGGUAAUGAAUUUAUCAACUGUGACUUUCGCAAAAAACAUAAAGUGGCGAUUCUAAACCAGCCAAGACCUAGCGUAGCUUUUUGGUGUAUGUGAAGAGUGAAAUUUCAGAAAACGAGUAUCCUCCACAAAAAUGUAUCAAAUGCCGUGCGACCAUUUAAUAAAUUUGGCGGAUUCACGCAAAAAAAAAAAAAAAAAACUCAAAAAGAAAGGACUAAAAAAUUAACUACAUCACACAUAUCUUAUGUAAAUGCCCCCCAUGGUGCCAACCAUCUUCCUCUGGUGUCACCAGAGCUGAUCCUAUACCACCUGUAUGUGUAUAGGUCAGAAAGUGCUGAUUGUCACCCUCUACCUCCAUUAAUAGUAGUACCUUUUAUUAAAACUAUUUCAGACUGUCUAGGAAUUAUUACUCCCAAUAACAAAAUGAGGGACCUGACACCUUUCAAAACUAAUUUAUAGGUAUUCUGUAUCACAAUCAGUUUAUUUAUCAACUAAUAUUUCAGACUGUCUAUGAACUGAUUGGGUUUAAUGGGAGACCUAUGAAUUAUUUCGAGGGGCUGUCAGAUGUUUCAUUUUGCUAUUGUGAGCAUGUGAAAUUCUUGCCACUAACUUAUAAAUGGAUUUUCUCAAGCACAUAGUCAAAGUAUAUGUUACCGUCUAUUUAUUUUUGUUCU